AUUGAACGCUGGCGGCAUGCUUUACACAUGCAAGUCGAACGGUAACAGGCUGCAAGGUGCUGACGAGUGGUGAACGGGUGAGUAAUGCAUCGGAACGCGCCCGGUCGUGGGGGAUAACUACUCGUAAGAGUAGCUAAUACCCCAUACGAUCUAUGGAUGAAAGCGGGGGAACGUAAGGCCUCGCCGGAUUUGACCGGCCGAUGUCAGAUUAGGUAGUUGGUGGGGUAAAGGCUCACCAAGCCAACGAUCUGUAGCUGGUCUGAGAGGACGACCAGCCACACUGGAACUGAGACACGGCCCAGACUCCUACGGGAGGCAGCAGUGGGGAAUUUUGGACAAUGGGCGCAAGCCUGAUCCAGCAAUGCCGCGUGCAGGAAGAAGGCCUUCGGGUUGUAAACUGCUUUUGUACGGAACGAAACGGCUCUGGUUAAUACCCGGCGCUAAUGACGGUACCGAAAGAAUAAGCACCGGCUAACUACGUG
Molecule: ribosomal RNA, 482 nt
Filed under: uncultured bacterium
Lineage: Bacteria
Description: partial 16S ribosomal RNA
Rfam family: Bacterial small subunit ribosomal RNA
Source: RNAcentral